AUUGAACGCUGGCGGCAUGCUUUACACAUGCAAGUCGAACGGUAACAGGCCGCAGGGUGCUGACGAGUGGCGAACGGGUGAGUAAUGCAUCGGAACGUGCCCAGUCGUGGGGGAUAACUACUCGAAAGAGUAGCUAAUACCGCAUACGAUCUAUGGAUGAAAGCGGGGGACCGUAGGGCCUCGCGCGAUUGGAGCGGCCGAUGUCAGAUUAGGUAGUUGGUGGGGUAAAGGCUCACCAAGCCAACGAUCUGUAGCUGGUCUGAGAGGACGACCAGCCACACUGGGACUGAGACACGGCCCAGACUCCUACGGGAGGCAGCAGUGGGGAAUUUUGGACAAUGGGCGCAAGCCUGAUCCAGCAAUGCCGCGUGCAGGAAGAAGGCCUUCGGGUCGUAAACUGCUUUUGUACGGAACGAAACGGCUCUGGUUAAUACCCGGGGCUAAUGACGGUACCGUAAGAAUAAGCACCGGCUAACUACGUG
This 482-nucleotide ribosomal RNA is filed under the name uncultured bacterium. RNAcentral describes it as "partial 16S ribosomal RNA". It matches the Rfam family "Bacterial small subunit ribosomal RNA", at positions 30 to 507 of the family's 1533-position model. The record is from RNAcentral.